AUACAAAGAUGAAAAAAAAAUGUAGUUCCUGUUUUUAAGAAGGUUCGGUCUAGAGAAGACUCCACACAGAUAAUGGUAAUACACUGUAAUAGCUGCUAUUAAUAUAGGUGGGGCAGUUGAAUGGUUGGCUCCAAUUCUUCACUUCCCUGUAGCAUUAGUAUUAUAUAUUCACCCUUUCUGUGAUGUCACAGGUGGAAUGGACUUCCCGGAUCCUUGGUUCUGGGCUUGGCCCCGUGCCUUGUUUUGGCCGAUGGGACACAGGUAGAGGCUUAGAGUGGAAUUUUUUGGUUGAGCUUGAGUUUCUGAGUUUAUGCACGAUCAUGAGGAAAAUGGGUCCCAGUGAAUCACUGCCACUCCGCAGGAGACAUGGAGCAUGGAGUGCCCCAGCCAUCCUGCCAAGGGAUGGACCAAACGUUUCUACACAGUGUUGGGUGUUUGCAGAAUCUGAUGAGGUCCAGGUGCAGAGCAAGAAUUGAAGAAUUCCACUGCUUCUUCCCCCAAACAGUGGUGGGAGAGGAGAGGUGCUCACCGCCAAGAAGAAAGUCUUCCUUACCUCUGACCAGCCUCUUCCUCUUGUUCUAUCAUCAGAGGAGAUGGAGAACAGCUGCUCUAUUUUAUGGCCUUGCAGUUAAUUUAAUUUAUAUCUGCUGUAUAUGUGAUUUCUUAAAACUUAAUAGAACAUUUCAGUUUGGCAUGUAGAAAGGGCUCUCUGCCUCACCCCAGUCAUUCCCAAUAGAUGUGUUUUAUCGUCUUAAUUUAUGUUUUUAUCUCUGUUGUUAUUGCUUGUUGUCUUUUUUUAAUAGUGUGAUUUUAUUUUUAUGACCACAUUAUUCCUAGGAAUUUUUUGGGCACGUGGCAUUCCAAAAUUUUACUAAUUUAAUGACCCAUCCCACAGACAGAUGAUCUCAAAAAGAUAAUGAAAGUUUAGAGUGCUGCGUGAUCUCAAAUUUAGCAAAGACUCAGGGGUGUUGUUAUGGAAGCUCCUUGGAGAUGGUGUGCAUGGAACUCGUGGACAAAGGAUCUACAAGCCUCUGC
RNAcentral lists this long non-coding RNA (1035 nucleotides) under Ovis aries (sheep). Its description in RNAcentral is "lncRNA (ENSOARG00000025996.1)". Lineage: Eukaryota; Metazoa; Chordata; Mammalia; Artiodactyla; Bovidae. The record is from RNAcentral.